Molecule: ribosomal RNA, 207 nt
Filed under: uncultured bacterium
Lineage: Bacteria
Description: partial 16S ribosomal RNA
Rfam family: Bacterial small subunit ribosomal RNA
Source: RNAcentral
CGUGUAGGCGGCCAGACAGGUCCGUUGUGAAAACUGGAGGCUCAACCUUCAGACGUCGACGGAAACCGUCUGGCUAGAGUCCGGAAGAGGAGAGUGGAAUUCCUGGUGUAGCGGUGAAAUGCGCAGAUAUCAGGAAGAACACCGAUGGCGAAGGCAGCUCUCUGGGACGGUACUGACGCUGAGACGCGAAAGCGUGGGGAGCGAACA